UACGUAGGUCCCGAGCGUUGUCCGGAUUUAUUGGGCGUAAAGCGAGCGCAGGUGGUUUAUUAAGUCUGGUGUAAAAGGCAGUGGCUCAACCAUUGUAUGCAUUGGAAACUGGUAGACUUGAGUGCAGGAGAGGAGAGUGGAAUUCCAUGUGUAGCGGUGAGAUGCGUAGAUAUAUGGAGGAACACCGGUGGCGAAAGCGGCUCUCUGGCCUGUAACUGACACUGAGGCUCGAAAGCGUGGGGAGCAAACAGG
This 252-nucleotide ribosomal RNA is filed under the name uncultured bacterium. RNAcentral's name for it is "partial 16S ribosomal RNA". It matches the Rfam family "Bacterial small subunit ribosomal RNA", at positions 524 to 776 of the family's 1533-position model. The record is from RNAcentral.